Molecule: long non-coding RNA, 354 nt
Filed under: Nicotiana tabacum (common tobacco)
Lineage: Eukaryota; Viridiplantae; Streptophyta; Magnoliopsida; Solanales; Solanaceae
Description: long non-coding RNA (NTAB_LNC012410)
Source: RNAcentral
CCUCCAUGACCUAUAAAUUGUGGGGAAAAAAAAUUGUUAUGGUGAUUCAUACGCAUUUUUCUUUGUCUAUUCAAAGGUUCUAAAAUAUUCUGUAGUUUGUACCUCUGGUGAUGACGGGUGCUUUUCGGUCUGUUCUGCUUCCAUCUUCUUUAUUUUGCUUCUGCCUCUUUCCUCUUGUUUUCUUGUUUUGGAGUGUUAUAGAGAGAGAGCUUAACUGUGUAUAAAUCCUCUUUCUGCAUGCAGUUCUGUAUCCAUGCACAAAUACAACCACUCACGUGUACUUAUGCACUAUAUAUAGAGAGAGGGAGCAAUAGAUAGAUAGAUAGAGAGAGAGAGAAGGAAGGAGAUACUGAG